This 2298-nucleotide ribosomal RNA is filed under the name Triticum aestivum (bread wheat). RNAcentral's name for it is "partial small subunit ribosomal RNA". Lineage: Eukaryota; Viridiplantae; Streptophyta; Magnoliopsida; Poales; Poaceae. The record is from RNAcentral.
UAUUGGAGUACGGAUAUGGCACGUAAUACACGUCGUAGUGUAGUCGAAGAUAACGGCCCAAAGAAGCGGGCUGAGCUCUGCACUCUCGAUACCAAGAACCUCGCAAGAAACGUUCACGUCGGAGCCACGGUACCUCUGCCACGGAGGAGGACGAGGGCUGGGAACACGAGGACACCGUCGAGACGGCCAACGACGUGGCCGACACCACCGCCGGCGCCACGGAGCUCGCCCUCGAGGCCAGGUUCCCGGAGGCGCCGUGCAGGAUGGCGAAGGAUUGGCCGCUGGAGUCCCUUGUUCCGGCCGCCUUGUUCCUGCGGACCAGCUCCGGCGAGGGCGACGCCACGGUGCUGUAGCGGGGAGCGCACCGUGGUGAGGAGACGCUAAGGCGGGCCCUCGUGCCGUUCCACUCGGAGAGCACCAAGCCGGGCUAGGGGUUCCAUUGGUAGCGGCUGGGCCUCGAACGGUUCUCGCACGACAGGCUGUUCAGGCCCGUGAAGCUCUUCGGGUUCAAGGGCCGCUACACCUUCGACGAGCGGUUGCCAGAGAACUUGGUGCUCCCGCUAUUCACCCAGUUCGUGUCCGCCGAGGAGUUGGGACUCAAGGUACUCCUCUUCUAGUUCACGUACGACGGUCUCAAAAGCCGCACGACACUUCUCAACCACCCGUCUACCUGCCUCAGGUAGCCGAGGUCACCUCCAUGCGUGCUCGACCUAUAAACCGGCCUCGAGUUUUAGGACCGGCCUCUACAGUAAAGGGCGUGGCGUAAGCCGUCGUCGAUGGAACUUCCUUACUUCUAUAAAGUCGACGUUUGGCUCGUUCGUCUCGUGGAGUAGUGUUUGUAAGCCUCCUAAGAGUAAGGGCCGAUGAAUAGAAACGGUUGGGGUUUGUUAUUUUCCUACAUAGUCCAGUUGUUGCUCCAACUUAGCUAAGAUGCCCCAAAUUAACGUUUUUCUUGAUUUCGACAGUUCCUUCCUCUUUCGUGGUUUCUACUGAAUGAACCGAAUAACGAUCUCAGUUUGUACUCCGUGUGUAUACUGUUACCAGUUAGGUCGUACCCCUACUGUUAACUUCUACAGUAGCUCCUCACGUUCUGCAAGAUGAAACGUCCUUACCUCUGUUGUAGUCAUGAUGAGUGCACCUGGUACUAGCAAGAUUCGUACGUAGGCUUCACCGUCCUGGCACGUUCCCUCCUCCAGGAUCCAAAUAAACCCUUUUUGUUUGGACUUAUGCUUCCAGAUUUGGCUGAAUUUUACCACUGGUACUAGGAAAUGCUCCAAGAAGCCAACAUAGGAGGUUCGUAAGUAAAAUCGGCCUUCUGUACGUUCCUCCACGAUUAGCCUCUGUUUUCCAUGGGUCGACCGUACUACUAACUCGAGAGGCAUGAUGAGUACGUGGUACUGGGACUGUAAACCCCUUCGCUACACGUACUUAAGUUCGGCCUCUCCAAGCGACUCCCCUAGAGGUUUCGCAGGUUCUUAAGUCCGCGCAAAGAGGGUAAGCCGACCCCCGGUGCCUAAACGUAGCCGGUCUUAAAACGCGAAUGACUCCGGUUCUACCGCUAAACGUACUAGGAAGUUGCAAAGCUGAAGCACGAACGGGGCAGGAUAUAAGUACGCGGUAUAUGGCACCAUUGUGAUGUAGGUUACGUACCGCGUGUUUAAUCCGAACCUGAGUAGAUUAAGGAAAGUGUAAACCACCACACAGGAAACUAAAAGAAACUGUUUACAUACACACACCACAUUGACUCACAACUUCGAUAGUCUAGAUUAAGUUAUUACUCUAGGACCAACGGCAUUAUGCCUAUACUUUAUAUACUGCCAAAGAGUCUGUUGUGGCACCUGCUACUUGAGUUUGUUGGGUGUGCCAAAGAUCUUUCAUCCGCACAACCUAGUUACUUCUUAGUGUGUACUGAAGCCGGUCUCUUAACAAACACAAUCCGGUGGAACGUGUUUCCAAACGUGUAUUUUUUAGCACACACUAUAUGUAUGCUCGCAAAAAGACUCUAAGUGACACACCCUACAUAUAUACUUGCCUUUACUAACCCGGACGUAUUAACAGAGACUACGGAGCGGACUAGUGUGUCCUCGAGUAAAACGGGUCGCACACGCUGGCUUCCUGGAAAAGGGCUGCCAAAGAUCCAGCACACUCUUCCUGGGGGGGGAUAGCGGGUGUGUUCGUUCCACUGCCAAAUUUUGAGACAGCGCCUUUUCCUCAAUUUUGGCAAACAUAUCGUGCAGAUACGUGGUCACAUACCAUGCGUGAUAGUGUGUAUUUGGAGACAUAUAGACUUCCUUUAUA